UUCGCGUGUAGCAGUGAAAUGCGUAGAGAUGUGGAGGAAUACCGAUGACGAAGGCAGCCCCCUGGGCCAAUACUGACGCUCAUGCACGAAAGCGUGGGGAGCAAACAGGAUUAGAUACCCUGGUAGUCCACGCCCUAAACGAUGUCAACUAGUUGUCGGGUCUUCAUUGACUUGGUAACGUAGCUAACGCGUGAAGUUGACCGCCUGGGGAGUACGGUCGCAAGAUUAAAACUCAAAGGAAUUGACGGGGACCCGCACAAGCGGUGGAUGAUGUGGAUUAAUUCGAUGCAACGCGAAAAACCUUACCUACCCUUGACAUGUAUGGAAUCCUGCUGAGAGGUGGGAGUGCCCGAAAGGGAGCCAUAACACAGGUGCUGCAUGGCUGUCGUCAGCU
Molecule: ribosomal RNA, 394 nt
Filed under: uncultured Pseudomonadota bacterium
Lineage: Bacteria; Pseudomonadati; Pseudomonadota
Description: bacterial SSU rRNA
Rfam family: Bacterial small subunit ribosomal RNA
Source: RNAcentral